AGCGAACGCUGGCGGCAGGCCUAACACAUGCAAGUCGAACGAACUCUUCGGAGUUAGUGGCGGACGGGUGAGUAACACGUGGGAACGUGCCCUUUGGUACGGAAUAACUCAGGGAAACUUGAGCUAAUACCGUAUGUGCCCUUCGGGGGAAAGAUUUAUCGCCAUUGGAGCGGCCCGCGUCUGAUUAGCUAGUUGGUGAGGUAAAGGCUCACCAAGGCUACGAUCAGUAGCUGGUCUGAGAGGAUGAUCAGCCACAUUGGGACUGAGACACGGCCCAAACUCCUACGGGAGGCAGCAGUGGGGAAUCUUGCGCAAUGGGCGAAAGCCUGACACAGCCAUGCCGCGUGAAUGAUGAAGGUCUUAGGAUUGUAAAAUUCUUUCACCGGGGACGAUAAUGACGGUACCCGGAGAAGAAGCCCCGGCUAACUUCGUG
RNAcentral lists this ribosomal RNA (433 nucleotides) under uncultured bacterium. RNAcentral's name for it is "partial 16S ribosomal RNA". It matches the Rfam family "Bacterial small subunit ribosomal RNA", at positions 29 to 507 of the family's 1533-position model. The record is from RNAcentral.